Molecule: small nuclear RNA, 166 nt
Organism: Oncorhynchus masou masou (cherry salmon)
Lineage: Eukaryota; Metazoa; Chordata; Actinopteri; Salmoniformes; Salmonidae
Product: U1 spliceosomal RNA
Exons: 1
Source: RefSeq, a predicted model, not a curated record
AUACUUACCUGGCAAGGGAGAUACUGUGAUCACGAAGGCAGUUCACCCAGGGCGAGGCUCAGCCAUUGCACUCCGGCUGUGCUGACCCCUGUGCGAAUUUCCCAAAUGUGGAAAUCUCGAUUGCAUAAUUUAUGGUAGUGGGGGACUGCGUUCGCGCUCUCCCCUG